RNAcentral lists this ribosomal RNA (391 nucleotides) under uncultured bacterium. RNAcentral's name for it is "bacterial SSU rRNA". It matches the Rfam family "Bacterial small subunit ribosomal RNA", at positions 28 to 420 of the family's 1533-position model. The record is from RNAcentral.
AACGAACGCUGGCGGCAGGCCUAACACAUGCAAGUCGAGCGGUAAGGCCCUUUCGGGGGUACACGAGCGGCGAACGGGUGAGUAACACGUGGGUGACCUGCCCUCAGCUCUGGGAUAAGCCUGGGAAACCGGGUCUAAUACCGGAUAUGACUCCAUGACGCAUGUUGUGGGGUGGAAAGCCUUGUGCGGCUGAGGAUGGGCCCGCGGCCUAUCAGCUUGUUGGUGGGGUGANGGCCUACCAAGGCGACGACGGGUAGCCGGCCUGAGAGGGCGACCGGCCACACUGGGACUGAGACACGGCCCAGACUCCUACGGGAGGCAGCAGUGGGGAAUCUUGCGCAAUGGGCGAAAGCCUGACGCAGCGACGCCGCGUGAGGGAUGACGGCCUCGG